GUGCCUACUUAAGCAACACAUAUACUAAAAAAGGAAGGAUACAGAGAAAAUCGGCAAGGCCCCUGCAUAAGGAUGACAUGCAAAUUUGUGAAGUGUUCCAUAUUUUG
This is a small nuclear RNA of Pteronotus mesoamericanus, 107 nucleotides long. Lineage: Eukaryota; Metazoa; Chordata; Mammalia; Chiroptera; Mormoopidae. The record is from RefSeq and is a predicted model, not a curated record.